GGGAAAGGUUCGGAGUGCUUCUCCUCAGAGGCUGUUAGUCUGAGGUGGUCAACUGCUUGUAACGUUCGUCGCGCCUCUGUCCCUCGCUUGUGUUAAGGACAGCAAAAUAUCUGGAAGCCUUCUUUAUUCAAAGUAUGACUUCGGCCCUCCUAAAGCGUUCUGAAAACGUACUGAGGCAAGAUGAGGCGGCUGCUUCAGGCGGCAGGGCUCGCAGGGGCAGCAGAUCCAGCCUCACAAGGGAUGCGUCGCCUGCUGCUGCUAUCUUAGCUUUGACAAGGUUAAUGGAAUCCAAUAGCCACCAAAGUUUUGAAGGCUGGUGUGACAGAGAGAAGCAGAAAAUUAAUAUUUUGGUGAAAUACGCACACGGCGCAACCCCCCCUUUUGUUCUACGUUCGAGGUGGCAGUCAUCCCAGUCAUGGGUGUGGCAGGGGGGCAAGUGUCCACCCCCACUAAAUCAAGUAAAUAAGUAAAAAAAAAAAUACUUAACUAAAAGUAUACAUUGUAGAGAGAUUUUGACAGGUUUUUCUGAGCACGGGGUCAAAAGAAAGUAAUUUAAAACAACAGUUGUUGAGACAUUUCAUUUAGAAUCUGCUAGACAGAGCCAGACAGGAUGAAGACAGAUAGGUGCAUAGCUUAAAUCCUGGUUAUGCCCACGAUCCCUGUUUAGUGGUGCUUACUACAUGUAUGCAUAGAAUUGUGCUGCAUGUGUUUGCCUUUUUCUGGCAAUAGGUUAAUGCAGAUUUCCCCUUUAAAGUUACAAACAGCUGACACCUUGUGGCCAUUUGUAUAAAUGACAAGCACCUUUCUUUGGAGCAAUAUAUUGCUCCCUUCAAAAAGCGUAGCUACAUGGUUCAGGCUAUACGUUCUCGUUUGUCUGGUGCCUCUGAUGUUGUGGGUCUGAAUCCAGUGCAGGAGCGUGCAUCUUAGAAUAGGUCCUUUGACGAUAUGGAAACUGAGUGGGCUGGCAAAGAAAAGCACUCUGUCUCUAAAUCACUAGAGUAAAGCAUUCCUGCGUCACCAGUUUGUUGUGCUUCCCUUUUCUAAACUCCGCUUCUUUGCUGCACGCUCAAAAAAGGGAGCCCCUGUCUCAGUACAGUACAUGGGGGAAAAAAUGGAGCAAGCAAGUGAUACAGCACAUAAUGAUGAAGUCAAGCUGAGAGAGGUGUGCAGUAUGGUAAUGGGUGAGAACAUGUGUAAUGCAUGUGUGAUUGAGAUAUGGAUGGAUGGAUGUUGUUUGUUGUUGUUGUUUAGUCGUUUAGUCAUGUCCGACUCUUUGUGACCCCAUGGACCAGAGCACGCCAGGCGCUCCUGUCUUCCACUGCCUCCCGCAGUUUGGUCAAACUCAUGCUGGUAGCUUCGAGAACACUGUCCAACCAUCUCGUCCUCUGUCGUCUCCUUCUCCUUGUGCCCUCCAUCUUUCCCAACAUCAGGGUCUUUUCCAGGGAGUCUUCUCUUCUCAAUGGAUGGAUGUGGGCACAUGCAAAUGUGCAGUUUGUGUGUGUUAAGAAAGAGAAUAUAGUAUGUAGUUCUGUGUGUGCAUUUGUAUGUUUUGGUCAUGUCUGUUUUGGGCAACUAUUGUGGCUACUUAACUGUGAAACUAGUAUUUUACCCUUUCCUUCUGUUCAGCUUUUUUUUUUAGUGUUUUUGUGUGCUGGUGUUUUUAAUAAUUGGAACAAUAUGCAAAUACAUCAUACUCAGAGUACAUCCAUUGAAAUCAAUGAAUUUAAGUUAUUAACCCUAUUGAUUCAAUAGGUCUCAUCUGAUUGUAAAUAAUGCUGGCUAUAACCCUUGGGUUUUAUUAUGGGGUGGGGAACGUCCAGUCUGCAAGUCAAGAGCAGACCACUGGACUCUCUCUAGGUCAUUCCCCUCACCAGCUGUACACCCUCAAAAUGUUUCUGCCUGGUUGGAAUAUUUUCCUGAACUUCGAUCAUGCUUCUUAUUUAAGCGGAUUGAAGGAUUGGGGGGGGGGAGCCUCUGGCUUUUACAUAGCUGGAAUGAAGCCUACUGUACAUAGAUGUGUGUGUGUGUGUGUGUGUGUGUGUGUAGCGGGGGUCCCUAGAGGGAAAUGUGACCCUUGUGCUGAAAAAGGACUCCUACAAUCAUUUUAUGGUAUAUCCUUCCCUGGUAUGAAGGUUGGUCUCUAUAAAUAUUUUUAACAAUAAACAAGCAUACAAAUAAAUCACUGCUGAGAUGUACCCACAAUUGUGAGGCCUGCAGAGAUUAUAAUGAUACAUCUCCAGCUGUUGCCACUGGCUACAGACUACCUGUGACAUCACAAAAGUACGUGGCAGCUGAGUGGAUAUGAAGGUGGGCCUUUUCCUCUUCCCCAACAGAACACAGCAAGCAACAGCUGUGACGUUUAGUCUUCUUCUACAUGGAGGAGGUGAAUAGGCAGAUGGAUGGAGAUGAUCAUCUGGCUGUAGGAUGCUACGGAGCAAUAAUAAGGCAAGUUCAUUUGCAGUGUGGAAUUGUUGCUUGAAGGCAGCUGAUAUCCAUGGGGUGUGAUGUGUGAUGUCUAGUGGUGGACCUAGCAGAAGCUGGCAGAUGUUGGUGGGUGGAAGCCAAUGGAGUUCUCAUUUGGAUGUUGCAAGGCUGAAACAUAGUGAUAUUUGUGGUUGUAAACUGGUUGAACUUCACCUUUGGGAGCUGAUUGACAGAAGCCAGUGGAUAUUUGUGGAUUGAAGUUGGGCAAUGAAUAUGAAUAAAUGGUGAGUGGAAGAUGAGUGGUUGUGUCCAUUGGUGUUCUGGUGUAUGCUUGUGUGCAUGACUGUAAGAUUUUGAAAGGGGUUGGGGCUAGUGGUGUGCAUAUGUGCAUGACUGUGAUGUGUGAAAAGAAACUGG
RNAcentral lists this long non-coding RNA (2841 nucleotides) under Podarcis lilfordi (Lilford's wall lizard). The record is from RNAcentral. Lineage: Eukaryota; Metazoa; Chordata; Lepidosauria; Squamata; Lacertidae.